This is a long non-coding RNA of Amblyraja radiata (thorny skate), 317 nucleotides long. RefSeq lists it as uncharacterized. The record is from RefSeq and is a predicted model, not a curated record. NCBI's taxonomy places the organism in Eukaryota, Metazoa, Chordata, Chondrichthyes, Rajiformes, Rajidae. The transcript has 2 exons.
CCAGGACUACAACUCAUACGGAUGGUGGGUUGGUGAGAUGAAAGGAAUUAUCGGGAUCGUCCCAAAGGAUUACCUCAUGACUGCCUAUGACAUGUGAAGAAGCAUCGCGGUGGAUCCCACCAGCGGCCGGCCACAGCCCACCUUUGUCCAGACCGAAGGCAGGGCGGGUGAGAGCUUGGCAGCAGAUCGACGGUGAAAGGAAGUUUCUUUGUGGCCGGUUGAGUGGUGACCCGGGGACAGCUGGAGUUGGGGAAGCAGGAAGAUCAGAAACUUGCACGCUCUCUUCUGCAUCCAAAUAAAGACUUGCUUCACCCAUG